GACGAACGCUGGCGGCGUGCUUAACACAUGCAAGUCGAACGGAAAGUCGCUGCGUUUGUGGGGUGCUCGAGUGGCGAAUGGAGGACUAACACGUGAGUAAGCGACCCUAGAUUUUGGGAAAACCUCAUGAAACUGGUUAUGAUACCGGAUCGGCGCUGCUUCUUCAUGGCUGUGUUUGGUAAGUUUCGGCUGUUGGGGCUGUACUCGCGGCUUAUAGGUAUGUUGGCGGGGAAGUGGCGUACCAAAGCCGUGACGGGUAGCCGGCCUGAGACGGUGGCCGGCCAAAUUGGGACUGGGGUACGGCCCAGACUCCUACGGGGGGGAGCAGUGGGGGAUAAUGGAAAAUGGGAGGAAGACUGAUGCAGAAACGUCGCGUGCGGGAUGAGGACCUUCGGGUUGUAAAAAGUUUUCGCCUGUGACGAGGCGUGAGUGACGGUAAUGGGUGAAGAAGCACCGGCUAAAUACGUG
This 468-nucleotide ribosomal RNA is filed under the name uncultured bacterium. RNAcentral describes it as "partial 16S ribosomal RNA". It matches the Rfam family "Bacterial small subunit ribosomal RNA", at positions 28 to 507 of the family's 1533-position model. The record is from RNAcentral.